This 432-nucleotide ribosomal RNA is filed under the name uncultured bacterium. RNAcentral's name for it is "partial 16S ribosomal RNA". It matches the Rfam family "Bacterial small subunit ribosomal RNA", at positions 29 to 507 of the family's 1533-position model. The record is from RNAcentral.
ACGAACGCUGGCGGCAUGCCUAACACAUGCAAGUCGAACGAGACCUUCGGGUCUAGUGGCGCACGGGUGCGUAACGCGUGGGAACCUGCCCUUAGGUUCGGAAUAACUCCCCGAAAGGGGUGCUAAUACCGGAUAAUGUCUUCGGACCAAAGAUUUAUCGCCUUUGGAUGGGCCCGCGUUGGAUUAGCUAGUUGGUAGGGUAAAAGCCUACCAAGGCGACGAUCCAUAGCUGGUCUGAGAGGAUGAUCAGCCACACUGGGACUGAGACACGGCCCAGACUCCUACGGGAGGCAGCAGUGGGGAAUAUUGGACAAUGGGCGAAAGCCUGAUGCAGCAAUGCCGCGUGAGUGAUGAAGGCCUUAGGGUUGUAAAGCUCUUUUACCCGGGAUGAUAAUGACAGUACCGGGAGAAUAAGCUCCGGCUAACUCCGUG